Long non-coding RNA from Triticum dicoccoides, 643 nucleotides. RefSeq lists it as uncharacterized. The record is from RefSeq and is a predicted model, not a curated record. The transcript has 4 exons. Lineage: Eukaryota; Viridiplantae; Streptophyta; Magnoliopsida; Poales; Poaceae.
UUUUCCAGGAUUCUUCUUUGCAUCCCAUACACAUAGACGGAGUGGGAGGCUGCCGCAGCGGUGCUGGACUUGGAGCCCAAGCCAUCCGCUGCCGCCAACAGGUGCUGACAGUAUGAUGCCUUCAGAAUUGGCUCUCAGAACUUUCAACCAAGAUUAGAGCUAGCAUACAGUUUGCAGUUUAUAGUCGUACUCAUACUCAAUGAGUCCCUACCUCGGCUUCUAGGCAAGAUAUUCUUUAAUUUUAGUUGAUUAGCAACCAGUAUUGUUCAGGAAUUUUGAGUGGCACACAUCCUGGUCUGGUGAGCCGAUGACCAGACAUCAUUUGUCAAGGAAGCAAAAAGGACUACACUCACAGGGAACCAUGAAGCCAACGAUCCACGUCAACUAGAUGUUUUAGCUUUCAUUUUGUACAACUGAUGUCUCAUACUUGCAUCUUUUGGUUGUCCUUUUGUAAACCUGAUUAUGGUUUCUUGGUGGUUUUGUUUAGAACAGGUUGAAGUGUAUGUAUGUGGCAAUUAGUUAAUGGAAUAAAAAAUGUUUGGUGCUCCCGAUUUGAGCUUGACGUAUGGUGUUUGGGUGAUUAUGCUUAGAACACAUGAACUAUAUGUAUGUGACAAUCAGUACCAUAUGUUAAUUAAAGUUG